RNAcentral lists this unclassified non-coding RNA (3101 nucleotides) under Portunus trituberculatus (swimming crab). RNAcentral's name for it is "uncharacterized LOC123515159, transcript variant X7". Lineage: Eukaryota; Metazoa; Arthropoda; Malacostraca; Decapoda; Portunidae. The record is from RNAcentral.
AGUCACUAGUGGUGUAACGCCUUAUCUGGCAUAUUUUGUAUGAAUGGAUACUGGGUAUAUAACCUCUGUAAUAACUUAAAAAGUAGGAAAAUGUGACAGGGGAAGUGAUACCCUGGGGGCGGAUGUUCGAAGGAUCGUAACUUUCCGUCAUUAAGAUCUUAGUUGCCCUCUCGUAGCCACCAUUUUUUUUAUAGUGGGCUACGACCACCGCUAAGAUGUAUUUUCAAACACCCAUCCGAACGCUCGUAGCUCACGAUGAUGCGAUCGUAAAGCUUGGUGCGUUCCGUCCCGCUGUCCAGGAAUGAAACUCAGCUGACUGCUGCUCAUCGAACCAGAAGAGGCGUAUUAACAGCCUUUGAGAGUGAUGGCCAAUGAUAUUGCACCGAAGGGCUCAUAGGAUCUGUUGGAUCGUCGAAGCCCGAAAACAACAACAACGAUAUUGCACCGUGAAACGGUUGGCUGGACAGAAAAACUGUCUUGCAGGAGGAGUUCAGCCAUCAAGUAACUGCAGAGAGAAAAAGAAAGGCAUGGGAAGAAAUAACUUGUGCUGUCAAUGCAGUUUCUCCUGUAGCAAGAGAGAGGAAGUGAAGAAAAAAAUUAUUGACGAAGUCAUCAGUAAAGGGGAAGCAUGCUGCUCUCAAGCAUCAAUAGGAAAAAACUGGUGGUGGAGUGCCUGAUGUAAAACCCCUGACCAGUGUUGAAGAGGCAAUGCUUCCAUUAAUAAAAGAUGUCCAAGUAUCUGGUGUUCCUGGACUUCGUGACCCUCAUCCUGCCAGUGACGAUGAAGAGGACUUGGCAACAGGUGACAUAGAUGUUACACUACCAUCAAAGCCAGCCUCACCAAGACCAGGACCCAGUGGUAUCCAAAACCUCCAAAUCUCAUCACCUCCAGAGCCUCUGUCACCAGACACUGAAACAGAGGGAAUAGUGGAGAUAGCAUCUGAACCAGCUCCACCACAAGCUGAUGAUCACCAAUACAGCCAACCUCCUCAGGCUGGUAGAAAUCAGAGAGGCUAAUCAUGUCGUGAGGGUACACUGGCUCCAGAAAUGCUUCAAGUUCACAAGAAACUCCUUGUCUGAUUUGACUGAAUGCAUUACUACAUAUUUGCAAGGAAUAGCAACAUCUUUGAAUGAAUUGGCAUCUCGCAGACUUGUUUAGGAACAUUUCAAAAUGUCCCACAAAAUAUUGUUAUUUUUGCAUUCCAGUGUCAUUUAUUUUCUGAUAUGCUCAUUACCAAUUUCUUUUUAUUUAAGGAAUACUCUUAUUAUUUUCCACAGUUAUUUUUCUAUUUUGCUUGAUAUAUGGGUAGUUAUUUAUUUUUAAAUUUAAGGAGUUUAUACCCUGUUUUCAAAGUGCCAUUUAUUUUCUUAUUUUGUACAAUGACAUUUAUUUCUUUUUAGGGAGUACCCUAUUUAUUAAUGAUGAAAUGUGUUUGCACUAAAAGUUCAAAUGUAAUGCAGACUUGGCCUCCAAAUACCAUUUAUUAAUUAUGAAAUAAUUUUAGUGUACAUUUGCAUUUCCUCAAACAUUUCAGUUAAUAUUUUGACAAAGAUGUAGAUUUAUUUUGAAGGUGAACAAUUACCUAUUGUUUAUAAUAUUUAGUAGCUUUUCUUAAAUACUGCUUCAGUUUCUUGUCCUAGUGGUGUAUUCAGCUCACCAUUACCUUUCCUGUAGUAUUCCUUGUGUCUUAUAUGAAUGUGUAAAUAUUUAUAUUUCCAUAUAGUGACUCCACGACUGGAACCCACACAAUAUGUGUAUAUACACACACACAUUGUGUGGGUUCCAAUCCUGGAGUUACUAUAUGGGAAUAUAAAUAUUUACACAUUCAUAUAAGACACAAGGAAUACUACAGGAAAGGUAAUGGUGAGCUGAAUACACCACUAGGACAAAAAACUGAAGCAGUAUUUAAGAAAAGCUACUAAAUAUAUGGCCAAUAUGUUGCUGCAAGAAUGGUGACAGGGUACCCACUGUCACCUAUGAGUAACAUGAAUAAAACAAUUAGCGUUAUAGAAGUGACAUUCAUCGGCCUAGAAACAUGGGACAUUUAAUAACUUGUUUAUGUAGGUAUCUGUCUACACUUCAUUAUGACUUGUUCCUCCAGAAACAGUGCAAGUGAUGAUAUGACAUUAGAAGCAACUACCCUUAUAAUGCAUCCUUGCAGAUUCAUGUAAAUGUUGAAAGGAUUUGCUUGUCACUUUGGCUGUGCAGUAAACCCAGGCACCAAAAUCCAACCCAGAUUGAUAUAGUAACAGCAAUCAUCCACAAAUCUUGCCAUUUCAUGCUAAACACAGGCAUUACUGGGCAUUAAAACAUUCAAUACAACCUUCAGUUGCUAUUGGUUGCUAAAUAUGUCAAUAGUGGGUAGGAGUUUUCCUGCCUGGGCUGAGCAAGGUGAAUAUGAUGAUACUAAUGUGCUAAACAUUACACCACAGAUGCUGAUCAUUACAUGAAAAAAAAUACUAAAUGAAGAAAAAAAAUCACUUGCAUGCACAUAAUGACAGACUAGUUUCUGAAGUGGUACGUAUAGUACAGUACAUAAAGAAUGCACACUUCAAAACAUACCAAGAAGAAAGGCAUCUCCGAAUUCACCCCGCUGGAAUCUCCUGUUGAGGAUGCUGUUCUCCCAUACAAAUGAAUCAUAUGUGCUUCCAUGGAAACGGCAGCAAUAGUCUUGAAAAAUGUAGUCUGCAUUACACACAACUUGUAUGUUCAGUGAAUGGAAAUUCUUUCUAUUGAUGUAGAGUUCUUCAUCAACUGGUGGGGCAGCAAUCGGGAUGUGCGUUCCAUCGAUGAUGCCAAUCACAUUUGGAAAAUUGGCAAUUCCAUAUAAUUUCCUCUUUGUUACCCUGGCUUCCUCUAGUCCUGAUGCAAAGAAAAGGUUGCUUAUUCACACAAUGCAAAAUAGAUGUAAAUUACAUUAAUAUUCACUGCUUCAUAAUAUUAUACACAUUUAACAAGAAUUACAAACUAGGUAAGUAAAAACCUAUACGUACAGUAAUUCAGUAAGUAAUAUUGUCACCAUUUAUAAAUUUACCCCUUGGCAUAACAUCUACAUUAUAAAUGCAAUUUGUCCAUGAAUAAAUAAAUUGCUGCGACCCUC